Strigops habroptila (Kakapo) is the source of this 537-nucleotide long non-coding RNA. RefSeq lists it as uncharacterized. The transcript is spliced from 2 exons. The record is from RefSeq and is a predicted model, not a curated record. Lineage: Eukaryota; Metazoa; Chordata; Aves; Psittaciformes; Psittacidae.
UAUGUCAAGCCCAAUGGACCACUACUUGUUGCCAAUUUGCCUGCAGAAGACAGACGGAAGAUUUUCUUCUCAUCUGGUCCCCUCUCCAGGAAUGCAAAGCUGUUUUCCAUCCCUCCAAACAAACAGCUAAGAAAUAAAGGGCUAAAGGUAUUUGAGAACUUAAUCAAGGUGCUGCUGUAUGGGCCACUGGAAGAGUCUAAAUGCCUCCGACAUGGAACACCUAAGACUUGGUGGUGGGAAAUUUUCUCAGACUUCUGGGGACAUAUUUCCAAAUACCUUGGGAGGGUUAGGAGAGUGUCAUAACUGUUCUGACCUGAUACAAUGAUCCUGAUGCAGGCUGCCAUAUAUUGCAAUGAAGGCUUUACAACAUCAAUAUUUUCCAAUCUCCCUUUUGAUUCUCUCUUCUGCAGAUUAACAGAGAGCCAUGUGCAAAGGGCAACACACCCUGCCCCCCCAAUUCACCCAGGCAAACAAAAUGGAUUCACUGAUUUGGGCUUUGCAAAAAACAAGCAGGAACUAAAAUUUCCCAUAAAUGUC